UCUUAAAGUAUUUAGGAGGAGGCACUGACUCAGCCCAGGGGCAAUCCACCUCCUCAGGAGCAGCCAAGGCUGAUGAAUCAGGUCCAUCUCUAUCCUCUGCUCCAUCCACUGUGCCCACUGUCCUCUCUGCAACCUCAGCUGUACCUGGUCCUUCAUCUUUGGUCAUGGAGAUUGAUGUGUCUUCUUCAGCAUCCAGUUUGGAGCAGGGAUCAGCAGCUCCGCCAGUUGACCCAGCUGAGUGUCCCUCUUUCCUGUCAGACUCA
Long non-coding RNA from Dicentrarchus labrax (European seabass), 263 nucleotides. RefSeq lists it as uncharacterized. The record is from RefSeq and is a predicted model, not a curated record. The transcript is spliced from 3 exons. Lineage: Eukaryota; Metazoa; Chordata; Actinopteri; Moronidae.